RNAcentral lists this ribosomal RNA (253 nucleotides) under uncultured bacterium. Its description in RNAcentral is "partial 16S ribosomal RNA". It matches the Rfam family "Bacterial small subunit ribosomal RNA", at positions 524 to 776 of the family's 1533-position model. The record is from RNAcentral.
UACAGAGGGUGCAAGCGUUAAUCGGAGUUACUGGGCGUAAAGGGCGCGUAGGCUGGUAUUUAAGUCGAUUGUGAAAUCCCUGGGCUUAACCUAGGAAUUGCAGUCGAUACUGAAUAUCUAGAGUAUGGUAGAGGAAAGUGGAAUUCUCGGUGUAGUGGUUAAAUACGUAGAUAUCGAGAAGAACACCAGUGGCGAAGGCGACUUUCUGGACCAAUACUGACGCUGAGGCGCGAAAGCGUGGGGAGCAAACAGG